Molecule: ribosomal RNA, 829 nt
Filed under: Nitrospirota bacterium
Lineage: Bacteria; Pseudomonadati; Nitrospirota
Description: partial 23S ribosomal RNA
Rfam family: Bacterial large subunit ribosomal RNA
Source: RNAcentral
UUUACUACAACUUGCCAUUGGAUGUUGGAAGGGUCUGUGUAGGAUAGGUGGGAGGCUGUGAAAUCGGGCCGCAAGGUCCGGUGGAGCCAACGUUGAAAUACCACCCUGAUUGUUCUGACAUUCUAACCCGGCCCGGUUAUCCCGGGCGGAGACAGUGGCUGGUGGGUAGUUUGACUGGGGCGGUCGCCUCCCAAAAGGUAACGGAGGCGCCCAAAGGUUCCCUCAGGCUGGUCGGUAAUCAGCCGUAGAGCGCAAAGGCAGAAGGGAGCUUGACUGCGAGACCGACGGGUCGAGCAGGGACGAAAGUCGGGCUUAGUGAUCCGGUGGUCCCGCGUGGAAGGGCCAUCGCUCAACGGAUAAAAGGUACGCCGGGGAUAACAGGCUGAUCUCCCCCAAGAGUUCACAUCGACGGGGAGGUUUGGCACCUCGAUGUCGACUCAUCGCAUCCUGGGGCUGAAGCUGGUCCCAAGGGUUGGGCUGUUCGCCCAUUAAAGCGGUACGAGAGUUGGGUUCAGAACGUCGUGAGACAGUUCGGUCCCUAUCUGUUGUGGGCGGAGGAGAUUUGAGAGGGGCUUUCACUAGUACGAGAGGACUGUGAAGGACGGACCGCUAGUGUGCCGGUUGUCGCGCCAGCGGCAGUGCCGGGUAGCUAUGUCCGGUAGGGAUAAUCGCUGAAAGCAUCUAAGCGAGAAGCCUGCCUCAAGAUGAGAUCUCCCGGGGCGUAAGCCCCCUAAAGACCACUCGUAGACUACGAGUUUGAUAGGCUGGGUGUGGAAGGGCCGUAAGGUCCGUAGCUAACCAGUACUAAUCGGUCGUGCGGCUUAACAUU